UAAAGGUGCAAAGCCUUUAUUUUGCACCCUGUGAAACAUAAAUGUCAGUUUUUAAAAAACUGGGCAACGGCAUGCCGCCUGCCCAUGACUCCCAAGCCUUUCCCGAUCUCCUGCCCCCUUCUCCCUUUGUUUUGACAGAUCGGGGGCUUGGGAGUCCUGGCUGGCCGGCCAUUGCCCAGUUUUUUUAAAAAAACUGCACAUUUAUGUUUCACAGGGUGCAAAAGAAGGGCUUUGCACCUUGC
Podarcis lilfordi (Lilford's wall lizard) is the source of this 242-nucleotide non-coding RNA. The record is from the annotation of a GenBank genome assembly. NCBI's taxonomy places the organism in Eukaryota, Metazoa, Chordata, Lepidosauria, Squamata, Lacertidae.